Bos taurus (domestic cattle) is the source of this 2731-nucleotide long non-coding RNA. NCBI's taxonomy places the organism in Eukaryota, Metazoa, Chordata, Mammalia, Artiodactyla, Bovidae. The record is from Ensembl.
GAGCUCAGGCCUCCAGUUCCCAACCAGGAGGGGUGGGGAAACAUCCUUCCCUACCAGUGCCGGCUGUGUCCUUGUGGGCCAAGGCAUCCGGUGGGCCCGGAGCUCGUCCUGCUGCCCUAAGUUCAGGAUCCAGGGUGGCUGGGGUGCCCCUGGUACCUGGUCCCAGUCCCUCCAUGUGGCACAACUCCAGGGGGCAUCUCGUACAUUGUCUUCUGUGAGAAAACAGGCCCAGACGGGGAAGUGAUUUGCCUAAGGCAAUACAGCUUAUUGGUAUAAGGUUGGUCUUGCAUUAACCAUUGAGUCUACAGGGCAGGAAGCGUGUCCUAGUCCCCUGCGUCUGCACAGAACAGGCACCAGUGACUGUUGAAGGACGAAGCAGCCCCCUCCCCAUCCCUGUGGCUGCAGCCACAGAGGCCCAAGCUCCAGGUCUCUAUCCAGCUACCAGCUGGCUGUAGGAACAGGACUGUAUUCUCAGAGAGGUGCCAGGGAGCAUCUCCCUACCUCCCCGCCUUGGCCCUGCCCAUCUUUUCCUUCCAGGUUGCCACCCACCGGGGACUGGAAGGUGGCUCUGAUGGUUGGUGUCACAGACCCUGCUUGUGUGGCUUGAAGCUUGGCCUUUCAGUGGUCAGAUUCUUCUGCAGCCACAGACUGGCUUCCAAUGCCAGCUUCACCUCUCUGGGUCCCCAGGGGCACGCCCUCUCCAAACCUAUCUGUCCUCACUGCAUACCCACCUCGCCAGGCCCACCCAUCUCUCAGGGACCUUCCCGGGCGGAGCUGGGAACAAAGCUCAGUUUAUGACCCUGCAUCGUGGAAACCACACCUGCCUGCCUGCUGCCCACACCUAAUCAAGGCCUCCUGAAGACCCAGGGGCUGCAGGGAAACUCCUCACACUCUUCUUCUCUCCUAGCGUCUGGGAGGUGCUGGGGGCUUGGGCUAGUGAGUGGGGAUUUCACAGCCCCGGAAGAGAGAGACGUUGCUCUAGGCUGAUUAGUCUGGUCAGAUGAUUAAUAAUUAAACCUGACCUGUUCCCAGCUACACACAUACACACCCUGCAGCCAGGAAUCAGCAGAGAUCAGGGGUAGAGAAGAUCAGCAUGGGCCCAGCUCCAACUCCCCCACCUCAUUCCAGGGUUGGGGAGAGUCUCAGGGCUCCUCCUCCUCACCUACCUAAGGUCCUACCAGUCCACUUCCUAUAUAAAGCUUUCUUGAUUUUUCCCACAGGCCUGAGCUCUGGGCAGGCUUUGGGCAAUUCCUAGGCUGCACAGGCCGGGGUGACUCUGUAGGAGUGGGAUUUGCAGAUCAGAUAGGACUUGGGCUCCACCUGUGUCAACACUCAAUUUCAACUCCAUCUUGACUUCUGCAGCCUCUCCACUUCUUAUUUAUACUCCCACUCCCCAGAGCUCUAGGAAGAGCAGGGCAUGCUCAGCACCCUGUCUGAUCUUAGCACAGCAGAAACAUUCAGCUUGGGGAGGUGGGAGCCAGUCAGCUUGGCUGCAUUCUGCCCUCAUCAUCAUGGGCUGCCCAAGUUUUUCCAAAGGUCCUUCUCUGGCCACAGGAAUCCUGAGACUCUGGUUGGCUGCUGGGCAGAUUGAAGCUGAGAAUCCAUACACAAGGGUUCAGCUAGGUGGCCAAAGUGGGGUCCCCUCCUACCCUCCUCCACUGCAGAUCAUCCUUCUAGCUUGUCCCUUGUGUUUUCCAAGGUCUUAAGGAAGCAUGAUCUCCUCUUCAGAGACCACUUCCCACCCACCCUUCCUCCUUCCAGCUCCGCAUCUCUCCAGAGCUCAGAAGCCUUUCCCACUCAGUGGAUAAUGCUCUUCUAGUACAUUGUCCUGGAGAAGGCAAUGGUACCCCACUCCAGUACUCUUGCCUGGAAAAUCUCAUGGACAGAGGAGCCUGGUAGGCUGCAGUCCAUGGGGUCGCAAAGAGUCGGACAUGGCUGAGCGACUUCACUUUCACUUUUCACUUUCAUGCAUUGGAGAAGGACAUGGCAACCCACUCCAGUGUUCUUGCCUGGAGAAUCCCAGGGACGGGGGAGCCUGGUGAGCUGCCAUCUCUGGGGUCACACAGAGUUGGACAUGACUGAAGCAACUUAGCAGCAGCAGCAGCAGUACAUUGUCCAGACUUUUGUAGUUAGAUUUUAUUUGGGCUGGGUAGGGAGGAGUAGGGUCUCCAGCCCCUGGCCUCCCUCCCUGGGCCUCUUCAACCCAGGAAAGCAGGUGAUCAUCCUGACCCCACCUUCGUCCCUCCCAGGGCUUUGUGAGGUGGAACAGAAAGGCCUCAGCCUGUUAUUUAAACACACGUGUGUAUGUGUACAUGUGUUUGUGCCUGCCUGCAUGUAUGCAUGCAAGGAUACAUGUAUAUGAAGCUUCUGGACAAGCUUGGAGGUUUUAAAAUCUGAGCCUCCCCAGGAUGCCCCAUGUUAGGUAGCACUCCAAUCCUUCCCCUGGCCAUGGCCAGGUGCACCCACCUCUGUUUUAACCCACACUGUGAUCUGCUUGUUCUCUUGUUCCCAGUCCAAGAAUUAUUUCUAUGGGAUUAGUCAAAGCCUCUUUGCCUUUCCCUUUCCUUGCUAAAGAAAAUUCUAACUGCCAAGCAUUUGGCCCUCCCUCUCUUGCUUAUUAAAAACAAACAAACAAACAGGUCAAAUUGUCAGGUUGAGGAAGAAGCAGAGGAGUGGGGUGAUGUCCUUUGAAGAUGACUGAGGUUGAUUCUCAGAGAGAAGAGGGGAGGGA